Non-coding RNA from Osmia lignaria (orchard mason bee), 3033 nucleotides. The record is from RefSeq and is a predicted model, not a curated record. Lineage: Eukaryota; Metazoa; Arthropoda; Insecta; Hymenoptera; Megachilidae.
CUCCCUAAAACCGCUACGGCAAACGUAACAACUGUUUUACCAACGCGGAAUUCGGAGUUCGGCCUCGAUGCUCGCAUCGCCUUAAAUUCGGAAGUGAAUUUAAUAUGUAUCUGGAGUUUUUAUCGACGCUUGUGUGCAACAUUCUAAUAUAUUUUGAUAAAAUGGUGUAAGAAACAAGAUGUCCAAUUUUUGACAAUCCGACAUUGCUGUGUUUUCUUGUGGGUUUUCCAUUUCCAUAGUCUCUAAUUGAUUGCAGCUGCUAUCGUCACAUUAAUUGAGGGAAACGAAUCGCCAAUAUGCUUGUUCCAUAAAACAACUACGGGAUUAUCAUGAUCUAACGAAACUACAAUCAAAGAAGAUAGAGAGAAUGUACAGAAUUUCCAAUAAAAUACCAGGACAAAUAACAGAAGUAUGUUCUCGAAACAGAAAUGCAGUUACUUUCUUGCAAGAUAUAUCUGGAAAUAUGAUGAAGCGUUUGAUCAGACACGGAGGGGAAAAUUGCAACAGAGAUAUUAUGGAGUAUAUGGGCCAUUCCACGCAAAGUGAUCACACUUUUUCCCGCAUGGUCUUGGAUUUUUGUUAAAUUUUGUAGGCUUGUAAAACCCAAUGUACGAACAAAAAAUCGAUGCUCCGUUCCUCGAUAUUGUUUAAACUUUCCAAGUUAUAAGGACUGAAAAUUUAGGGUCACUUUUCUUUCAAAAAAUCAUAACUCGGAAAGUAUUAUAGAUAUCGACAUGCAUGAACCGGCAUUUUAUAGGUAAAACUUCAAAGUUUAAUAAAAAAAUUACUACAUGUGUCAACGCAAUCUUCAAAUUGUUGUAAAUAAUGUUUAUAAUUUUCAAACUUGAAAAUAACCCCAAGGGGGAGCACGAAUCGGUCUGAAAUUUUUUCUGUAGAAUCUUUAAAGAGUUUUCUAAAUACCCUGAAGAUUUCAUAAUGGAACACGCAGAAUUACCGGAGUUAUAAUAUUUUAUUGCUGCGUAUGACCUGCCGGCGGACCAUCGCGCGCCAUCCGGUCCCCAUGCGGCACUGCACUUGUCGGCGUUACUUUUCGGUCUAUCCGCUUACAAAUACAAAUUGGAGUAAAUAAUUGUUUCUAAUACACACUUUUUUCUUAAUCUGGAGAGGUGAUUUUAAAGAUUUUGAUGUGAUAGGAGAUUCACCGAGAGAUUUAAGGGCACUAUUUAACGACGAUAACGAAUAUUCCCGAUCUAUUUCUUCUACAUAACUACAGGGUGAUUCUUUCGCAACGCAACACAAAAGCCGAGCCGCACAAUGGAACCCCUGCUGUUCCGUUUCUUGACUUCGUCUCAGCCAUAAACACACACAAAGCAGUUUUGGGUCCGGCUUUUGUGUUGCGUUGCGAGAGAAUCACCCUGUAUCUGCAUUUGUUCCCGAAUUUGACGAAUUGUUGCUUAUUACUUGCUCUACAUUACUUGGACCAACAACUGGCUCUUGAACUGUUGGAAAACAACCCGGCUCACUUACGUUUACGAUAGGAAGAUUUGGACGAUUUAAUCUAGAUGUUCGAAUUACUCGCAUUCUACACAUGCAGCACAAAUUUUCUCCUAAUAUUAUAUUCUGAUAUUUUUCACGAAAGGCGAUUGUAACUGAACGAAGAUUUUUAGUUACAUUUGAAUGUCGAGGUAAACUAAAUGGAUUGGAACAAUAUCUUCGCGGCAUUUUUGCUUUCCACCAGUACACAAUUACAGUUUUAAACUAAGAAAAACAAGAAACUGAAAAGUACACAGCAUAGUUAUGCACAACACUGAACGCUUAACUGAAACCGCUUGUCUCGUUGCUUUCCCAAAUAAAACUGAACGGUGUUCUGGAAAAGUGAACCGCCAAAAUCAGUUUGCCAUACUUUUAUUGCCUUUUAAGGGUUUGUAGACAAAAGUACCAGAAACGUGUCGAUCUAUUCCGUAGUUGUUAACCGAUGGCUGGCUAUUUGAAAAAAUGUAGAGUAGCGGCGCAUGGGAACCGGACGGCGCGCGAUGAUCUGCUGGUAGGUCAUACGCAGCAAUAAAAUUUUAUAACUCCGGCAACUCUGCGUGUUCCAUCAUGAAAUCUUCAGGGUAUUUAGAAAACUCUUUAAAGAUUCUACAGAAAAAAUUUCAGACCGAUUCGUGCUCCCCCUUGAGGUUAUUUUCAAGUUUAAAAAUUAUAAACAUUAUUUACAACAAUUUGAAGAUUGCGUUGACACAUGUAGUAAUUUUUUUAUUAAACUUUGAAGUUUUACCUAUAAAACGUUCAUGCAUGUCGAUAUCUAUAAUACUUUCCGAGUUAUGAUUUUUUGAAAAAAAAGUGACCCUAAAUUUUCAGUCCUUAUAACUUGGAAAGUUUAAACAAUAUUGAGGAACGGAGCAUCGAUUUUUUGUUCGUACAUUGGGUUCUACAAGCCUACAAAAUUUAACAAAAAUCCAAGACCAUGCGGGAAAAAGUGUGAUCACUUUGCGUGGAAUGGCCCAUAUAUAUCUUCAUACAUGUAGCUUUUCACAUUAAGAAAAGAAGCAUAUAAUAGAAGCUUUUCACUAAUUGAGUACGACAAUCAGAAUCAAAAUGGGGAUAUAUUUGCCAUUAUUUGAUAAUUAAUUUGGUAGAUUCCAAAUAUAGGUGCAGUUGAAUAUAAAGUAUCAAUAUAUAAUAAUAUUACUUCUUGUUCUUUUUAUAUUUUCAGAAUCUGUUCAGGCAUUGAUGGAAAAAUUAUCACCAAAAAUUAUGAAGUACUAAAAUUGAAUAGAUACAUUAAAGAAAUUAACCAACGUAGAGUGAAAAACUAAGACAAAUAACAAGAACGUACUCUGUAAAGAAAUGCAAUUACUUUGUCGCAAGAUAUAUCUGGAAAUAUGUUUAAGCAUUUAUUCAGACAUUAAUGAGGAAAUUACAACAAAGAAUUUAUGGAGUAGAAAAAUUUGAUAGAUACAGUGAACAAAUUAUCCAAAGAGGAUUAUAAAAUUAGAUAUGUUUGUUUUCCAAAUCAUCGACUAUAAAAACAAUGUAAUGCCAGCAUAUUUUAAGUAAAUAAAUUAAUAG